Molecule: ribosomal RNA, 465 nt
Filed under: uncultured bacterium
Lineage: Bacteria
Description: partial 16S ribosomal RNA
Rfam family: Bacterial small subunit ribosomal RNA
Source: RNAcentral
CCUACGGGAGGCAGCAGUGGGGAAUAUUGCGCAAUGGGCGAAAGCCUGACGCAGCGACGCCGCGUGAGGGAUGAAGGUCUUCGGAUCGUAAACCUCUGUCAGCAGGGAAGAACAGUCACUGUGCUAAUCAGCAGUGAAUUGACGGUACCUGCAAAGGAAGCACCGGCUAACUCCGUGCCAGCAGCCGCGGUAAUACGGAGGGUGCGAGCGUUAAUCGGAAUUACUGGGCGUAAAGCGCUCGUAGGCGGUAUGUCAAGUCAAGGGUGAAAUCCCCGCGCUCAACGUGGGAACUGCCUUUGAAACUGGCAAACUGGAGUGUGUGAGAGGAGAGUGGAAUUCCAGGUGUAGGAGUGAAAUCCGUAGAUAUCUGGAGGAACAUCAGUGGCGAAGGCGACUAUCUGGAACAUAACUGACGCUGAGGAGCGAAAGCGUGGGUAGCAAACAGGAUUAGAUACCCCUGUAGUC